UACGUAGGGGGCGAGCGUUGUCCGGAGUUACUGGGCGGAAAGCGCACGCAGGCGGUCUGCUAAGUUUGGAGUGACAGUUGGUGGCUUAACUGCCAAAGUGCUUCGAAAACUGACAGACUUGAGGGCUUCAGAGGGACACGGAAUUCCGGGUGGAGUGGUGAAAUGCGUAGAGAUCCGGAGGAAUACCAAAGGCGAAGGCAGUGUCCUGGCUGGCAUCUGACGCUGAGGCGCGAAAGCUAGGGGAGCGAACAGG
This 253-nucleotide ribosomal RNA is filed under the name uncultured bacterium. RNAcentral's name for it is "partial 16S ribosomal RNA". It matches the Rfam family "Bacterial small subunit ribosomal RNA", at positions 524 to 776 of the family's 1533-position model. The record is from RNAcentral.